GUAGGUGGCGAGCGUUAUCCGGAAUUAUUGGGCGUAAGGAGGGAGCAGGCGGCAGCAAGGGUCUGUGGUGAAAGCCUGAAGCUUAACUUCAGUAAGCCAUAGAAACCAGGCAGCUAGAGUGCUGGAGAGGUAAGUGGAAUUCCUAGUGUAGCGGUGAAAUGCGUAGAUAUUAGGAGGAACACCAGUGGCGAAGGCGGCUUACUGGACAGUAACUGACGUUGAGGCUCGAAAGCGUGGGGAGCAAACAGGAUUAGAUACCCUGGUAGUCCACGCCGUAAACGAUGACUACUAGGUGUCGGGUAGCAAAGCUAUUCGGUGCCGCAGCAAACGCAAUAAGUAGUCCACCUGGGGAGUACGUUCGCAAGAAUGAAACUCAAA
Molecule: ribosomal RNA, 378 nt
Filed under: uncultured bacterium
Lineage: Bacteria
Description: bacterial SSU rRNA
Rfam family: Bacterial small subunit ribosomal RNA
Source: RNAcentral